UGGCUUCAGAUGACAAGCGGAUGUUAUUAUUAUUCACUUCCGGGUGCAACCAAUCAGGCGCCAUCUUGUCUUGUUCGUGAAGAAGUAGAAGCAUCGAAAGGUUUGGAGAGGUAUUACAGGAACUGUGGCGAUAGCGGGGUUCCGGAACCAGAGUGGGGCAUAAGUAAUCUUGCUGCUAUGCUUCCAAGCUGUAGUCUGAAUCAACCCAAAUUUUAAACAGAAGGUGAACCUCUGAGAUAGAAAAUCAAAUAUAUUUUAAAAAGUCAGGAUGUGGGAUCAAGGAGGACAGCCUUGGCAGCAAUGGCCCUUGAACCAACAACAGUGGAUGCAGUCGUUCCAGCACCAGCAAGAUCCAAGUCAGAUUGACUGGGCUGCAUUGGCUCAAGCUUGGAUUGCUCAAAGAGAAGCUUCAGGGCAGCAAAGUAUGGUAGAACAACCACCAGGAAUGAUGCCAAAUGGACAAGAUAUGUCUACAAUGGAAUCUGGUCCAAACAAUCAUGGGAGUUUUCAAGGGGAUUCAAACUUUAACAGAAUGUGGCAACCAGAAUGGGGAAUGCAUCAGCAGCCCCCACACCCCCCUCCAGAUCAGCCAUGGAUGCCACCAACACCAGGCCCAAUGGACAUUGUUCCUCCUUCCGAAGACAGCAACAGUCAGGACAGUGGGGAAUUUGCCCCUGACAACAGGCAUAUAUUUAACCAGAACAAUCACAACUUUGGUGGACCACCCGAUAAUUUUGCAGUGGGGCCAGUGAACCAGUUUGACUAUCAGCAUGGGGCUGCUUUUGGUCCACCGCAAGGUGGAUUUCAUCCUCCUUAUUGGCAACCAGGACCUCCAGGACCUCCAGCACCUCCCCAGAAUCGAAGAGAAAGGCCAUCAUCAUUCAGGGAUCGGCAGCGUUCACCUAUUGCACUUCCUGUGAAGCAGGAGCCUCCACAAAUUGAUGCAGUAAAACGCAGGACUCUUCCAGCUUGGAUUCGAGAAGGUCUUGAAAAAAUGGAACGUGAAAAGCAGAAGAAGUUGGAGAAAGAAAGAAUGGAACAACAACGUUCACAAUUGUCCAAAAAAGAAAAGAAGGCCACAGAAGAUGCUGAAGGAGGAGAUGGCCCUCGUUUACCUCAGAGAAGUAAAUUUGAUAGUGAUGAGGAAGAUGAAGAUACUGAAAAUGUUGAGGCUGCAAGUAGUGGAAAAGUCACCAGAAGUCCAUCUCCAGUUCCUCAGGAAGAGCACAGUGAACCAGAGAUGACUGAAGAAGAGAAAGAGUAUCAAAUGAUGUUGCUGACAAAAAUGCUUCUGACUGAAAUUCUACUGGAUGUCACAGAUGAAGAAAUUUAUUACGUAGCCAAAGAUGCGCACCGGAAAGCAACGAAAGCUCCUGCAAAACAGCUGGCACAGUCCAGUGCACUGGCUUCCCUCACUGGACUCGGUGGACUGGGUGGUUAUGGAUCAGGAGACAGUGAAGAUGAGAGGAGUGACAGAGGCUCUGAGUCAUCUGACACUGAUGAUGAGGAGUUACGGCACCGAAUCCGGCAAAAACAGGAAGCUUUUUGGAGAAAAGAAAAAGAACAGCAGCUGUUACAUGAUAAACAGAUGGAAGAAGAAAAGCAACAAACAGAAAGGGUUACAAAAGAGAUGAAUGAAUUUAUCCAUAAAGAGCAAAAUAGUUUAUCACUACUAGAAGCAAGAGAAGCAGACGGUGAUGUGGUUAAUGAAAAGAAAAGAACUCCAAAUGAAACUACGUCAGUUUUAGAACCAAAAAAAGAGCAUAAAGAAAAAGAGAAACAAGGAAGGAGUAGAUCAGGAAGUUCUAGUAGUGGUAGUUCCAGUAGCAAUAGCAGAACUAGUAGUACUAGUAGUACUGUCUCUAGCUCUUCAUACAGUUCUAGCUCAGGUAGUAGUCGCACUUCUUCUCGGUCUUCUUCUCCUAAAAGGAAAAAGAGACAUAGCAGGAGUAGAUCUCCAACAAUUAAAGCUAGACGGAGUAGAAGUAGAAGUUACUCUCGCAGAAUUAAAAUAGAGAGCAAUAGGGCUAGAGUCAAGAUUAGAGAUAGGAGAAGAUCUAAUAGAAAUAGCAUUGAGAGAGAAAGACGAAGAAAUCGGAGUCCUUCUCGAGAGAGACGUAGAAGUAGAAGUCGCUCAAGGGAUAGGCGAACUAAUCGGUCCAGUCGCAGUAGGAGUCGAGAUAGGCGUAAAAUUGACGAUCAACGUGGAAAUCUUAGUGGGAGCAGUCAUAAGCAUAAAGGUGAGGCUAAAGAACAGGAGAGAAAAAAGGAGAGGAGCCGAAGUAUAGAUAAAGAUAGGAAAAAGAAAGACAAAGAAAGGGAACGUGAACAGGAUAAGAGAAAAGAGAAACAAAAAAGGGAAGAAAAAGAUUUUAAGUUCAGUAGUCAGGAUGAUAGGUUAAAAAGGAAACGAGAAAGCGAAAGAACAUUCUCUAGGAGUGGUUCUAUAUCUGUUAAAAUCAUCCGACAUGAUUCUAGACAGGAUAGUAAGAAAAGUACUACCAAAGAUAGUAAAAAACAUUCAGGCUCUGAUUCUAGUGGAAGGAGCAGUUCUGAAUCUCCAGGAAGUAGCAAAGAAAAGAAGGCUAAGAAGCCUAAACAUAGUCGAUCGCGAUCCAUGGAGAAAUCUCAAAGGUCUGGUAAGAAGGCAAGCCGCAAACACAAGUCUAAGUCCCGAUCAAGAUCAACAACCCCUCCCCGUCGUAAACGCUGAGGAAUGAUGUGGCAAGGAUGCCAUGAUGUUUAAAAAAUUCCAUGAGUUUUAAGGGCUUGUCUCAUUAUAGAGGCACAUUGUGGCUGUUGUCUAAGUCAUUGUUUCUUCAAAGAAACAAAUGAAGUAUAAUUAAUCAGUAGGUGAGAUUUCUUCUUUUAUGUGGGAAUUUUUAAAAAGGAAUUGUAUGAGGUCCAAAGUUCCUGUAAUAUUGUCUUGGAAACGUUUACAUUUUAACGGAUUUUUCUUCUCUUAUAUACAUUAAAGUCUAUUUUCAUUUGUUGAAGUUUCUAAAAUGUACUAAUCAUGGUUUGAUGGAAAUAUUAUUAGAUCCGUUGAAUUGUUCUGACUCUGCUGCUUAAUUUAUUUUGGACAAAUCAUUUAAACACAAUGGGCUUCAAUUUCUUCAACUGUAGAAGGGGGGGAUUAGAUUAUUUUUAAGGUCUUGAAUACUUCUAGCUCUUAAAAGUUUUUCAGUUUUAAGUGGAAUUUGGCUGUAAUGUCUAAUCCUGAAUGAGAAAAUAGGCUUUUUAUUAACCCUUAUAACCCAUGUGUGAGGAGUUACAUUUUAUACCAUGAAGAUUUGCCAGAUGUGCUCUAGAGUUUUCCUGUAAAUAUACAAAGAUUAAAUCUGCCACACUCUGAUUAUGGUAAUGUAAGUAAAGAGGAAAUUAUCCUGAGUUACCAAUUUAUGUGUAAAUAUGAAUAUUUACCAGUUAAACUCUUGAGCUGAUGCAUAUUAUUUCAAAGGGAUAAAGUUAUUAGAUGUAAAGGAGUAGUACUUCACACUUAAUUUGGAAGAGAGAAGUUUUUAUAAAAUGGAAUUUCAAAAUAUUAAGUAAAUUUUCAGUUUUUAUGGUAAAAUAAAUUGUAGAUGCUGGUUUACAACACAUGGGUGAGACACCAUAUCAGUGGUCUGGGAAAUACCUCCAGCAAUGGCCACACACCACAUUACAAUUGCUAGUCUUUCCAGCACAACUCUGGUUGAAGUGUCAUUGGAAAAGGCUUUUCGGUAUUUGCAGAGAAAAGUACUAUGAGCUAGUUUUGCUUACCUGGACCAAACUGGUGGGUAUUCAAGAGGUUUUUGUUUCCUGUCAGUAUUAAAGGCAAAUCACUGAUUGCCUUUGUUGUUGAAUUGAAAAGGUAGUGGGGAAGGGCCUGAAGCCCAAGGAAGUGGUACAUUCAAAUAAAGCAUAUUUAAAUAAAGCUUUUAAAACUUUUAAAAUCA
RNA transcript from Acinonyx jubatus (cheetah), 3938 nucleotides. It is a transcript of the gene named PNN interacting serine and arginine rich protein, with no coding region annotated. The transcript has 14 exons. The record is from RefSeq and is a predicted model, not a curated record. Lineage: Eukaryota; Metazoa; Chordata; Mammalia; Carnivora; Felidae.